RNAcentral lists this ribosomal RNA (890 nucleotides) under uncultured archaeon. RNAcentral's name for it is "bacterial SSU rRNA". It matches the Rfam family "Archaeal small subunit ribosomal RNA", at positions 1 to 847 of the family's 1478-position model. The record is from RNAcentral.
CCCGCCAAUUCCUUUAAGUUUCUCCGGUUGAUCCUGCCGGACCCCACUGCUAUCGGGAUAGGACUAAGACAUGCUAGUUGAGCGCUUCCAGCCAAAACGGGAGCGCAGCGCACAGCUCAGUAACACGUGGCUAAUCUGCCCUUGGGACCGGAACACCCCCGGGAAACUGGGGCUAAUUCUCGAUAGGUAAAGAACUCUGGAAUGAGUCUUUGCUUAAAAGACGUUUACGUUAUGCUCGUAGAUGUCGCCCAAGGAUGAGGCCGCGACCGAUCAGGUUGUUGGUGAGGUAAUGGCUCACCAAGCCUUUUACCGGUGCGGGCCGUGAGAGCGGGAGCCCGGAGAUGGGCACUGAGACAAGGGCCCAGGCCCUACGGGGCGCAGCAGUCGCGAAAACUUUGCAAUACACGAAAGUGUGACAGGGCUAUCCCGAGUGCCAUCCGCUGAGGAAGGCUUUUACCCAGUCUAGAACGCUGGGGGAAUAAGGAGAGGGCAAGUCUGGUGUCAGCCGCCGCGGUAAUACCAGCUCUCCGAGUGGUGUGGAUGUUUAUUGGGCCUAAAGCAUCCGUAGCUGGCUGAGUUAGUCCCUUGUUAAAUCCACCGAAUUAAUCGUUGGAUUGCGGGGGAUACUGCUCGGCUAGGGGACGAGAGAGGCAGACGGUAUUUCCGGGGUAGGGGUGAAAUCCUAUAAUCCCGGGAAGACCACCAGUGGCGAAGGCUGUCUGCUAGAACGCGCCCGACGGUGAGGGAUGAAAGCUGGGGGAGCGAACCGGAUUAGAUACCCGGGUAGUCCCAGCUGUAAACGAUGCAGGCUAGGUGUUUGGACGGCCACGUGCCGUUCUAGUGCCGCAAGGAAGCUGUUAAGCCUGCCGCCUGGGGAGUACGAUCGCAAG